AGAUUGAACGCUGGCGGCAUGCCUUACACAUGCAAGUCGAACGGUAGAGUAGCAAUACUUGAGAGUGGCGAACGGGUGAGUAAUAUAAUCGGAACGUGCCCAGUCGUGGGGGAUAACGUAGAGAAAUUUACGCUAAUACCGCAUACGAUCUAAGGAUGAAAGCGGGGGACCGUAAGGCCUCGCGCGAUUGGAGCGGCUGAUAUCAGAUUAGGUUGUUGGUGAGGUAAAAGCUCACCAAGCCGACGAUCUGUAGCUGGUUUGAGAGAACGACCAGCCACACUGGGACUGAGACACGGCCAGACUCCUACGGGAGGCAGCAGGUGGGGAAUUUGGACAAGUGGGCGAAAGCCUGACUCCAGCAAGUGACCGCGUGACAGGAAGAAGGUCCGUUAGGGUUAGUAAACGUGUCGUUUAGUAACCGGAACGAAACGGUCGUGUACCGUUUAAUACGUAGU
This 455-nucleotide ribosomal RNA is filed under the name uncultured soil bacterium. RNAcentral describes it as "bacterial SSU rRNA". It matches the Rfam family "Bacterial small subunit ribosomal RNA", at positions 26 to 479 of the family's 1533-position model. The record is from RNAcentral.